CAUCUGAUUCGAAGGAAGGGAUUUCCCUAUCGAGUCGGCUUUCCUCACCUCGGGCCGGGGAUUCUGGGAGUUGCAGUGUCAGCAACAGGAGGACACGUUUGGCAUCCUGGGCUAAGGAAGCCCAAGGACAAGGCAACCGUUUGUGUUUUGGACUUCAUUUCCCAUCAUCCAACUAACUUUGGGGGUCCCAAAAAGGACCUAUCUCCAUAAAGGCAGACCUUUGUGUUUCGGACUACACUUCCCAUCAUCCAGCUAACUCUAGGGAUUCUAGAGAGGACCUAUCCCAGUAAAGGCAGAACUUACUGUUUCGGACUACACUUCCCAUCAUCCAGCUAACUCUUGGGAUCCCAGAAAGGACUUCUCCCAAUCAAGGCAGACCUUAGUGUUUUGGACUGCACUUCCCAUCAUGCAGCUAACUCUGGGAAUCCCAGAAAGGACUUACGCAAUGAAGACAGAUCUUAGUGUUUUGGACUGCACUUCCCAUCAUCCAGCUAACUCUGGGAAUCCCAGAAAGGACUUAUCCCAAUCAAGGCAGACUUUUGUGUUUUGAAGAAUUCAUCCUAUCAUCCGGUUAACUCGGGGGAUCCCAGAAAGGACCUAUCCCAAUGAAUGCAUUUUGGACUGCACUUCCCAUCAUCCAGCUAACUGGAAAUGUCAGGAAGGACCUAUCUCAAUAAGGGCAGACCUCUGUGUUUUGAAUUACACUUCCCAUCAUCCAGCUAACUGGGAAUGCCAAGAAGGAUCUAUCUCAAUAAGGGCAGACCUCUGUGUUGCAGACUGCACUUCCCAUCAUCCAGUUAACUGGGAAUGCCAAGAAGGAUCUAUCUCAAUAAGGGCAGACCUCUGUGUUUUGAAUUACACUUCCCAUCAUCCAGCUAACUGGGAAUCCCAGAAAGGACCUGUCUCAAUAAGGGCAGACCUCUGUGUUUCGGACUGCACUUCCCAUCAUCCAACUAACUGGAUAUCCCAGAAAGGAAGGAAGGACUCUGUUUGGGUUUGGGACUGCACGUCCCAGCAUCCCGCUCACGCUGGGAAUCCAAAGAAAAGAGCUUCCCUGUCAAGGCAACUGUUUUGGGGUCUUUAGGUCUUUUCCAGCCUUGCUGUCUAGGAGAGUAUGUUGGGCUUGGGACUACAUCCCAGCAGCAGACCCCUGCUCGGGCCAGGGAGAGAAAUGAAAUGCCGAGCUCAAUAGGACAGGUGACCCAACUGGCUUUGAAACCGUCCAUGUGGGAAGGGGUCUAGGAGUCUGGAUGGACCACUAGCCGAACGUGAGCCAAGAGUGUGAUGCGGCAGCUCAAAAGGCCAAUGCGAUUCUAUGCUGCAUCCCAAUUAGAUGCCAGAGCUGUUUGGCAGGGCCAUGGAUCUACGGAGGUUUCAGAGUCUGGCUGGCCAUCUGUCGGGAGGGUUUUGAUGGUGCCUUCCUGCCUGGUUAGAAGGGGGCUGGGCUGGAUGGCCUUUGGGGGUCCCUUCCACUCUAGGAUUCUAUGAAGUCAUAGCUCGGUUUCGGACUACACAUCCCAGCAUCCCGCUGAUUCCGAUUAAUUAUACAACGAACAAUGACUUCUCUAUCAAGUCCGCCUUUGCCAUAAAUCCAGACUUAUGUCCAUGUUACGAAAACACGGUUUAUAUACAGUAUAUAUAUUUUUAUGUGUGUGUGUGUGUGUGAUCUCCGAAUGGUAAAAGUGUCGGGACUUCCUUGUUGGUGUCUUUCUUAACCCAAGGGUUGCAUCUACACUGGGGAGUUAAUGCGCUUUGAUACUACUUCAGCCUCCCUGGCACAAACCUACAAGUCCAGAAAUCACAUUGCCAUCAACCAAGUUAAUAUGGUUUCACAGAUUGGAAAAAAUGUGUUGGAAAUCCCAACUCCGGCCUGGAGGUGGCGCUGUGGCAAAACAGGAGCGCCUUUUCCCCCUGCGCCAUAGGCAUGGCGGUGAGGAGGCGUGGGCCAAGGCGCUUCUGGUGGGCGGGGCCUCAAAGAGACUGUGGGAUAAAUGGAACUUCCGGCUCUCCUUCCACAUGGCCUGCAACGCCCUCUACUGGCCAAUUACUGUUAUGACAAUAAAUAUAUCUUAUACUAACCAGGAGCAACCUAUUAUUAUUAAUAAUAAAUAAAUAUAUUUAUUAAUAUAUAUAUUUAUAUAUAUAAAGAAGAAAGAAAAGAAAAAGAAGAUAUAAUUAUUAUAUACAUAAAGACUAUAUGUAUAUAUCUUGUUAUAUAUAUAUACAUACACAGUAGAGUCUCACUUAUCUAAUAUAAAUGGGCCGGCAGAACGUUGGGUAAGUGAAACUGUUGGAUAAUAAGGAGGGAUUAAGGAAAAGCCUAUUAACACAUUAAUUUAUGAUUUUACAAAUUAAGGACCAAAAACAUCAUGUUUUACAACAAAUGGACAAAAAAAGCAGUUCAGUACUCGGUAACGUUAUGUACUGUAUGUAUAUAUAUAUACAUAUAAAACGUAUGAUAUAUAUAAUAUAUACUAAUAAUGUAUAAUUAUUUAUAUAUAUAUAUAUAUAUAUAUAUAUAUAGUAGAGUCUCACUUAUCCAAGCUAAACGGGCCGGCAGAAGCUUGGAUAAGCGAAUAUCUUGGAUAAUAAGGAGUGAUUAAGGAAACGCCUAUUAAACAUCAAAUUAGGUUAUGAUUUUACAAAUUAAGCACCAAAACUUCAUGUUAUACAACAAAUUUGACAGAAAAAGUAGUUCAUUAUGCAUUGCUAUGUAGUAAUUACUGUAUUUACGAAUUUACGAAUGUAGUAAUUACUGUAUUUACGAAUUUAACACCAAAAUAUCACAAUGCAUCGAAAACAUUAUACAUUAAUGCUACGUAGUAAUUACUGUAUUUACGAAUUUAGCACCAAAACAUUGCAGUGUAUUGAAAACAUUGACUACAAAAACAUUGGCUACUAACAAAUUGACUACAAAUAAAGAUAGAAUUACAUAAAAUGAACUUACAGUUAACAAUAUUGUCGGAAGUUAAAUCCAUAAAAUGUUCAGUCCUUGCUGCCUAGAGAAACAGCUAUGGAUCGAGGCGGGAGGCAGACUGUUGGAUGAUCCAGAAUGUUGCAUAAACAAAGAUUGGAUAACCAAGACUCUACUGUGUAUAUACAUACA
This 3106-nucleotide long non-coding RNA is filed under the name Anolis carolinensis (green anole). RNAcentral's name for it is "lncRNA (ENSACAG00000040383.1)". The record is from RNAcentral. Lineage: Eukaryota; Metazoa; Chordata; Lepidosauria; Squamata; Anolidae.